GGGGGGGGGGGGGGGGGGGGCGAGGGCGGGGGGGUCGGGGGGGGGGGGGGGGGUGGCGGCUGGGGUCAGGGGCGGGCGGGGGGGUCAUGCCUAGGAAUGUGGCUGGUAGUGGGGGAUAACGUCGGGAAAGGGGCGCUCAUCACGCGUGCGUGCUGAGGGAGAAAGUGGUGGGUCUUCGGACGUCACGCGCUCAGAUGCGCCUAUGUCCGAUUAGCUAGUGGGUGGGGUCAAGGCCUGCCACGGCGACGAUCCGUAACUGGUCUGAUAGGAUGAUCAGUCACACUGGAACUGAGACACGGUCCAGACUCCUACGGUAGGCAGCAGUGGGGAAUAUUGGACAACGGUCGAAAGCCUGAUCCAGCCAUGCCGCGUGUGUGAAGAAGGUCUUCGGAUUGUAAAGCACUUUAAGUUGGGAGGAAGGGCAGUAAGUUAAUACCUUGCUGUUUUGACGUUACCAACAGAAUAAGCACCGGCUAACUUCGUG
Molecule: ribosomal RNA, 484 nt
Filed under: uncultured bacterium
Lineage: Bacteria
Description: partial 16S ribosomal RNA
Rfam family: Bacterial small subunit ribosomal RNA (bases 54-484)
Source: RNAcentral